AUUAUCCACAUUUUAAGUGGUUUACUAUGCUUACCAAGAAGUUGUUUGCUUCAGAAGAUUGCAUGUGAUGAAGAUAUGUAAUAAUUUUUUUCUUUUUUUUUUUUGGACUGGAGUGCUCACUGCAACCUCCGCCUCCCGGGUUCAAGCGAUUCUCCUGCCUCAGCCUCCCAAGUAGCUGGGAUUACAGGCGCCCGCCACCACGCCUGCUAAUUUUUGUAAAUUUAGUAGAGACGGGGUUUCACUAUGUUGGCCAGACUGGUCUCGAACUCCUGACCUUGUGAUCUGCCCGACUCGGCCUCCCAAAGUGCUGGGAUUACAGGCGUGAGCCACCGUGCCCGGCUGAUGUGCAUUUGUCUGGCCUUCCCUUUUACUGCUGGCUGGGAAGGAGGAGCAUCAGACCACAGAUCCUGGAAGGCACUUCUCUCCCUGACUGCUGCUCACACUGCCGUGAGAACCUGCUUAUAUCCAGGACCAA
Molecule: long non-coding RNA, 475 nt
Filed under: Homo sapiens (human)
Lineage: Eukaryota; Metazoa; Chordata; Mammalia; Primates; Hominidae
Description: non-protein coding lnc-RBM23-4:4
Source: RNAcentral